Salmo salar (Atlantic salmon) is the source of this 355-nucleotide non-coding RNA. Lineage: Eukaryota; Metazoa; Chordata; Actinopteri; Salmoniformes; Salmonidae. The record is from RefSeq and is a predicted model, not a curated record.
CUACCUGUUGUAUAGAUGGUAUAAUGAGGUUGUAUAGACGGUAUAAUGAGGUUGUAUUACCUGUUGUAUAGACGGUAUAAUGAGGUUGUAUUACCUGUGGUAUAGACGGUAUAAUGAGGUUGUAUUACCUGUUGUAUAGACGGUAUAAUGAGGUUGUAUUACCUGUUGUAUAGACGGUAUAAUGAGGUUGUACUACCUGUUGUAUAGAUGGUAUAAUGAGGUUGUAUUACCUGUUGUAUAGAUGGUAUAAUGAGGUUGUAUAGACGGUAUAAUGAGGUUGUAUUACCUGUUGUAUAGACGGUAUAAUGAGGUUGUACUACCUGUUGUAUAGACGGUAUAAUGAGGUUGUACUACC